This 650-nucleotide ribosomal RNA is filed under the name Enterobacter cloacae. RNAcentral's name for it is "bacterial SSU rRNA". It matches the Rfam family "Bacterial small subunit ribosomal RNA", at positions 138 to 782 of the family's 1533-position model. Lineage: Bacteria; Pseudomonadati; Pseudomonadota; Gammaproteobacteria; Enterobacterales; Enterobacteriaceae. The record is from RNAcentral.
GGGGGAUAACUACUGGAAACGGUAGCUAAUACCGCAAAAAGUCGUUUGACCUAAGAGGGGGACAUUCGGGCCUCUUGCCAUCAGAUGUUCUCGGAUGGGAUUAGCUCGUAGGAGGGGUAUGGGCUCACCUAGGCUACGAUCCGUAGCUGUUCUGAGAGGAUGACCAGCCACACUGGAACUGAGAGACGGUCCAGACUCCUACGGGAUGCUGCAGUGGGGAAUAUUGCACAAUGUGCGCCAGCGUGAUGCAGCCAUGCCGAGUGUAUGAAGAAGGCUUUCGGGUUGUAACGUACUUUCAGCGGGUAGGAAGGUGUUGCGGUUAAUAACCGCAUCACUUGAUGUUCCCUGAAGAAGAAGUAUCGGCUAACUCCGUGCCAGCACCCGCGAUAAUACGGAGGGUUCCAGCGUUAGUCGGAAUUACUGGGCGUAAAGCGCACGCAGGCGCUCUCUCACGUCUGAUGUGAUAUCACUUGGCUCAACCUGGGAACUGCAUUCGAAACUGUUAUACUGUGGUCUUGUAGAGGGGGGUAGAAUUCCGGGUGUAUCGGUGUAAUGCGUAGAGAUCUGGAGGAAUAUCGAUGGCGAACGCUGCCCCCUGGACCAACACUGACUCUCACGUGACGAUAGCGUGUGGAGCAAACAGGAUCACA